UACAGAGGUGGCAAGCGUUGUUCGGAAUUACUGGGCGUAAAUGGCGCGUAGGCGGUCUUGUCAGUCCCUUGUGAAAUCCCCCGGCUCAACUGGGGAACUGCACGGGAAACAGCAGGGCUUGAGUUCGGGAGAGGGAAGCGGAAUUCCGGGUGUAGCGGUGAAAUGCGUAGAUAUCCGGAGGAACACCGGUGGCGAAGGCGGCUUCCUGGACCGAUACUGACGCUGAGGCGCGAAAGCUAGGGGAGCAAACGGG
RNAcentral lists this ribosomal RNA (253 nucleotides) under uncultured bacterium. RNAcentral's name for it is "partial 16S ribosomal RNA". It matches the Rfam family "Bacterial small subunit ribosomal RNA", at positions 524 to 776 of the family's 1533-position model. The record is from RNAcentral.